This 1079-nucleotide long non-coding RNA is filed under the name Homo sapiens (human). Its description in RNAcentral is "non-protein coding lnc-SPATA6L-5:1". Lineage: Eukaryota; Metazoa; Chordata; Mammalia; Primates; Hominidae. The record is from RNAcentral.
UGAAAUCUGAAGUUUCUCCAUAUUACCAGUUUCUAGGUUUCUGAGUCUUGCAGAAUACUAAAAAUGUUCAUCUUGCAACAAAGAGAUAAGAUCCAAGUGGUGAGGUCUUCAUUAAUUAGAGAAGUAUCUGGAAUGUUUGGGGAGGAGUUAUGCAGGGAGGCAGCAGCAGGCAGGAGAUGGCAAACCCACAAGGGUCCAUUGGCGUUUCUGGAGUAAAAUGGUUUGCUAGGUUAUUUCUGGGGCUUUGUGAUAGUAAAGUCUGAAAAACUGUGUUUAUAAAUACGAUUGGAAAAGUACAGAGGUUGAAUUAUUGCCACAUGUUAGGAAUGUGGAAGGUUGCUUGGAUAAAUGAGAAAAGAAAGAAAAGAAUGCAAGUAAUGUCCUGCUGGGGUAGUGCAGUAUUUUGUUUCCAGGUAGCUUCAAAGUAUUAAAUAUAUUUACAUUGACCCAUGUAGCUAGCAAUUAAUAAAACAAAUCAAUAAAUGAGAACAUAAGAUCACCCCCAGUUCUGCCACUCAAAACUAACUGAUGUUUCUGAGGUUUCUAAGGGGUGAUUUACAAGUGAACAUGGUUCCCCUUGGUGAUGAUGUCCUCAAAAGCAAAGGCCAUCUUCCAGAUAUGUGAAUUCUUUACCCAUUAUGAAUCUUGUUUUGUUAAAGUAACUUUUUCUUUCAGGAUAAUUUUAGAUUUACAGCAAAGUUGCAAAGAUAAUAGGAAGACAAAGCCCCAAAGACAAAUUCCCAACACUUCCUAGCAGGCCAGUUCUCUGACUAAGGUAACUGAACUUUAAGGUAUUUCCCAAUACCGUCUUACUCACCAAUAUGACCUAAAUUACCUUAUAUUACAUUUAUCAAAAUUAAGAAACCAGCAUUGGUAUAUAUAUGUUACUGUAAACUAAAACUGUAGACUUUAUUCAGAUUUCACUAUUCUUUAUGGAUCUUUUAUGUAUGAUUUUAAGUCCUUUUUUGAAUUCUGAUAUUGUCUCUAGUACCUCUUUAUUUAAAUAAUGUUGUUUUCCUCCCUCUGAAAACAAAAAAGACGUAUUUUUUUUCAUUGUAGAAUUAGGAAAGUACUGAAAA